AACCCCCACUGGACCGGCCCCCCCGCUCCUGUGCCUGCCAGCAUGUGCAGUGGACUGGUCCAGUCUGCCCUAAUCCCAUGGAGAUCUCGUGUCCAUCACUGGGCACUGAAGUCUAACUCAACCCAACUGACUUCACCCCCCAGCACACACUCAUGCCGGCAGGUGCCACCACUUGUCCACCGCUGAACCUUCUUGAAGUCAGCUGAACCCUUGCAGCCUCAUCAGUGCUGGGUCUGAGCACCUGCCGCCCGCGCCUGCCGCCCGCGCCCUCUCCGGCCCCAGUGCUGUAACUGUUCCAGCGUCCUCACAGCGGAAUGGGAUCUGAGACUCCCUGGUGACGUGUGACGAGGACCGUCUCCUCCACUUCUGUCGUCUCCAAGCCUUUCUUCCUGAGUCCUCGGUUCAGGACUCCUGCCUGCUUCUUCCUGGGUGGCGCAUGUUCUUAGGAAGUGGGUGGUGAGGGCGCAGGAACUUGGUGUAUUUUGGGAAUGUCUUUUGCAGGUGUUUUCUCUCAGUUUCUCACCGUUUCUUUGCUUCUUGUCUCACGUCUUAGGUGUUGCAUCUCCAAGGAAUUCUGGGAGUUCACACAGCUCCCGGGAGGGCUGCAGGCUUACACUUGAACUCCCGGCUCCAUCUGAGUUGACUCUUGUGAAGGGGUGAGGGCUGGAUCCCCCAGAGCAGCCCCCUGAUUGGUCCAAGCAGCACACCUCAUCUGCAUACACCUAGACUCACUGGGAGAACUUCCUGUUCAGGAGCAUACACGGCUGGGUCAGAUGUCCGCUGCGGCCGGCGCUCCCUUGGGCCUCUCCGCAGUGACCCAGUGCUUCAUCAGCCCUGUUGUCUCCUGCGUAAGAUGGCAGGAAGCUGGCGUUGGAAGCCGAGCCAGGACUCGAACCCAGGCAGCCCUGGAGACCGCAGUCACCCUUGGAAUUGGGCCUUUUCCAGGGGAGAGGUCAUAGCUUGGCUGUGACGCCACAGUUCCGUGCAAGGUGAGGCACCCUUCUUGAGCAGUUCCCUGACGGCAGCAGGAGGGCCCUUCUUGGAAGGGCCUGCGCGCUGUGUACACAGGUGCGAGCUGAGCUCCUGGCGAGUGGAUUCCCCACGCUCCCAGCUGCAAUCGGUUAUGCAGUGUCACUUGGCAGGAGGCCUGCCCAGGUUCUCCAGCAGCUACCCGCUGGCCCGCCCACCGGCUGGCCCGCCCACCGGCCUGCCUUGGAGCAGGAGCUUCCCAGUCCAUCCUUGUGGGGAGGUGGUCACCGUGGUUACUGAGUGUCAGCUCCAGGCCCUGCUCUUUGCUUUGGAGAAAUUUCUCAUUUCCUGUCAUCAGGCCACUGGUCAGCUAGGGUUCACAGUGACCCACGCACCUCAGAGUCCGGUGUGGCACGAGUGUCCAGCAGGUGGCGUGUGGCUGCUGGGGUGGGGAGCUGGAGAGGCUGGGUGGCUCUGUCCACGUGAGUGGGCACGCAGGCCCUGCUCUGAGAGGCUGCUGGGCUGGUGGGGAUUGCUCGGGGUGCCUGGCAGUUUGGGAAGUAGAUCCUUCCACACUUAAGUUCAGGACCCCUGAAGCUCCAGACCACCGAGAGCGUCUUUAAGGGGAUGGUGAGCACAUCCUGCUGACCGCUCGAGGCACCUCCCCAAGGGAGAGCCUGUCAGCCCCGGCUGCAGGGGCUCCGGCUGCAGGGGCUCCGCCAGCCCCAUGCCUGCGAGGGCAGCAGCGGGCGGCCCUGAGGCGACUGUGCCAGUGACUGCUGGUGCCCAGCACGCUGUGGGGCUCAGUGUGACCAGGCCAGACCUUGACGUUCCCCAGGGUGAUGGGCAAGAGCCUGAGGAGACUUGGCAGGCAGUGACCUGGUGCUAGCUGACCCUGGGACUCCGAGCCACCCACGCUCGGCUCCCUUUGCUGGGAGCAGCUGCCCAGCUGCCGGCAGUGUCCUGAGAGCCCAGGAUGCGGGAAGUAAAGCCCUGAGUGUCCCCCUGGACAUGUAACACACCCUGCAAACCUGGGGGUGGCAAGGGCCCAGGGGGCACUGGAGGGAGAGGGAACAGGUUCAUGGGUGUUUAUGCACCUGCACUGGGCCCCGCCUGCACUGUCUUAGGGUCAAGGUCACUGGGGCAGAACCUGGGGCCUCUGCUGUCCAGGCCUGGCCAGAGCCCCCGGCCUCGCUCCCCUGCGUGUGGCACUUCCCUUGUCAGUACUGCUCAGAAGUUCAGAGCCAGUGCCACGGGGACGGAGGAGCAUGGCAGGGGAAGUGCGGGGCUACUGAGGUCUUUAUGCGGUGAGGCCAGCUGCUCCUGCAUGACCAACGUGGCAGGUCUUCCUGCGGCCCUGGAGCCCUCCUGUCCCAAGUCAAAGCGUCCCCAGGACCCCGCUCCUGUCUGUCGGGGGCAGACGUGGCCCCUGCCUGACCCGUGGCUCCUGGGGCUCCUAGGGUCUUUGGGGCUCCUGUGGCUCCUGUGGCUCCUGGGGUCUUUGGGCUGUAUCGAGGCCUUGGCUGCACCUGAGCUGUUGAGGGUCCCUGGGGAGCCCUCAGAAGCGUGUGUAGAGCGAGCACAGUUCCUGAUUUGCUUGAGACAUUUUGUGUUUCUGCCAUGUGCCAGGCCAGCGUGCCACACUUGCCUUCCGGGAAGCCUGAGGCACAGAGCCUGGGACCUUAGAGGGCUUCGUCUGGGGCCACUGCUGCAGCAGGCAGCCUCGGGCCAAGGCGCUGCCUGCGCCUGGGCGGGGAGGGAGCCGUGGGUGCUUCGGCCAGAGGUGAUAGGAAGUGGGAGACGCUGGAUGGCCCUGGCGUGGCAGGGAGCAGCAGGAGCCAGUCCAGGCUGUGCCGUGCAGGUCAGUGGCUCGCCUAGUCUCAGCUGACCCCACGGCAUAGGCAGCUGCUGGGAAGCCGGGGGUGGGACAAGCAGAGUCCUGUCCCUGCGCGCCGAGGGGCGCCAGCCAGUGCUGCCGGAGCUGCCUCCCAGCAAAGUCCACUAGCCAGCCGUGUCUGGCUGUGUCUCUCCUGCAGCAUCCUUCAUAAAACCUUGACCUCUGCCACACGAGGUGCACAUCCACGCUGUGAUGGGGUCAGAGGCAUCCUUGCUGGCUGAGGCUGGCAAGCGGGGCACUGCAGGGCCCUGACUGAUAGGAGUGCCUUGUUGGGGCUGAGUGAGGCUGUUGCUGAAGCUGCGGUGCAGCAGGGCCCUGUGGCUGCACCUGCGGCUCCCAGGAAGGCCUCCUGGGUCAGCCUCGCGCCUGCUCUGUGCUGGGAGCAGGUGAAGGGGCAGGCCUCCUGCUGGGGACGUGAGGCCGGAGGGGAGCCCCUCCCUGCGGACUUUCUCCUUAGAAGCAGCACAUGGUUCUGCUUUUCCCGGCCAAUGGGAACCACAUGUCGGAUCCUUCUCUUCCUCUUCUCCCUCCGAAAUGCAAAUGUGGAGCAGGCCCUUGGUCAGCAUGGUUGCUCAGCCCGGUGCCAGGCUGCCAGCGGCUGCGGGCCACGGCAGGGCUGCUCCCACCUUACCCAGACCUCAGAUUCCAGGGCUUCCGAGGCAGGCCCUUCCAGGUGGACCCGAGGGGCUGCUUAAAAGCGCCUGAGCGCCCAGCACGGCCAGCGGCCCUGCCCGGCUGUGAGCAGACUGCAGGCAUAACUCAGUGCUUUGAAGCUGCGGCCAAGCUCUGCUCGCGUUUUAUUGACAGGAAGUUGUUUUUCAAAGCCUGGCUCCGCAGGCAGGCCCCACGCCAAGUGGCCCCGGCACCUUCUGGGGCUGGCACAGCUCCGGGCGCUGUAAAUUGCGCUGGCCCCAUCCCUUCCAGUAGGGCUCGUCCCUCCUUCCCGUCGGAUUGACCGUUGCCCUCCGGCCCAUGUCUCUAGCCGUCUCAGUGGACAGAUGGACGGACACGCACUGCCCGACGCUCCUUGGCUCUUGGAGGCUCUCCGGGGUGCUGGGAGCUGUCCACGUGCCUGCUGUCCGGCAGUGGUCAUGCUGCGUGGGCUAGGUGUCCCCUCCUCAUCUUCCCCCUUGAGCCCCAUGGAAGGUUGCACGCGUGGCUGGAGUCCCAGCUUGAAUUCAUGCCCUGGAGGCUCAGCCCUGGCUGGGCUGGCCUUACAGACUGUAGGAUACUGACUGGCCUGGGGUCACUGAGUGGACAGUGCUCGAGGCUGGGGAGCCCACACCUGGCAUCUCCCCCAGCCCGCUCCUCCCACCGCACGCUCUGCCCGCAGGGCCAGCUUGGGCAGCUCUGAGUUGCUGACCCACAUGGCCAGUUUCCUGUAGGGCUGCUCAGUGGAGAAUGUUCUGGAACUGUCUGUCUCGUCCUGGAGCGCCUCUCUGCUCCAGUCUGGGCUCUCCUUGACUCUCCCCGCCCAGGGGUUCCGCUGGGUGGCCUAGCCCUGAUGGGCAGCAAGACCCAGGUGUCCCUGGUGCUCAGCCUCCUGCCACUGGUCUCAGGUCCUGGUGGCUUCUCUUCUGGAACGUUCUCAGACCACGGCAGGCUGCCUGGUCUGCCAGCUGGCAUUGGUGCUUGCAGCUCCAUUUCCUCUCGUUCCACUGGGUACCAGGGGCGUAGUGUCUCUCAGGUCCUGGGAUGCCCUCUCUUGCUCCAGCCCAGCCUUUCCCUACACAGCCCCCUGUGCAGGUCGGACUGGUUCUGUCCUGUUUGCGAAGCCCUGUGAUCUGCUCCAGUCCCAGCCAGUGUGCCGGGCUGAGGCUUCCUGUUCUUCGACUGGCCUUGCCCUGGCUACCUCCUGCCACGGACUCACCCUGCUUCCCACGUGGGCCGCUCCCCACGUGAUUCCGUGUCUGUCCUGUGGUUGCUGCUGCCGAGGGUCACAGACUGCGGAGAGCUUGUGCUGUGCUGACGUAGCCCACGGAGAGGCCUGGGUGGGCCGUGGCACCUCUCCGUGGAGGCUGCCCAGCCUGGGUGUCGUGGGCCUGCAUCAGGAUGGCUCGUCUCGCUUCGGGCUCCAUUUCCUCCUCGACCACGCUACAAGCUGAAGCUUCUGGUGGAGCUGGGGAGACAGGCUGAGGGGAACGCCCUGGGUCUGUGCAUACUGGAAGGGGCGCGGGAGGCCCUGACAUGGGGGAUGCACAGGACCUGGAAGUGGGGUGCCCGUGUUGGGAGUCUAGCGCUUGCUGCGGGCAGGCAUGGCCAGGGCUGGACAGCAUGGUGCCUCCGUGCCAAGGCUGGCCCUGGUGGGUGCCAAGCUUUCCUGUUGUCCUGGAGCCUGGUCACGUUCUUGUACUUGGCCUUGGGGCUCUGUGGAUGGGUGCAUGGUUUCCGGGGAUCUCACACCUUUUGGGGGUGCCCUGUGGGGUCCCCAAGGGGUUAUUGCCCCUGGGUGGCUGUGACACAGGCUGUGGCAAGAGCCAGAGGGGCUGGGGUCUCUGGUGACCUCCUUGGGGCAUCCUGGGUCCCUGUGAACCCCAAGGGCAGGGAUUCGCCCCUGCCUGCAUGCGUCCACCAGCUCACCCUGCCAGCCUCUCGCUGGGGGGUCCGUGCCGCCCCCUCGCACGUCAGGGCCUUCUCUGUAUCCCCUCCCUGCAGCGUCCUGGGCUCGGGUCCCUUUCAUCACUUUGGGGGGUGCUGCCUCCACAUUCUCAGGUGGAAGUGUUUAACGCCAGU
This is a long non-coding RNA of Ochotona curzoniae (black-lipped pika), 5599 nucleotides long. RefSeq lists it as uncharacterized. Lineage: Eukaryota; Metazoa; Chordata; Mammalia; Lagomorpha; Ochotonidae. The record is from RefSeq and is a predicted model, not a curated record. The transcript is spliced from 2 exons.